Molecule: ribosomal RNA, 464 nt
Filed under: uncultured Methanomicrobiales archaeon
Lineage: Archaea; Methanobacteriati; Methanobacteriota; Methanomicrobia; Methanomicrobiales
Description: bacterial SSU rRNA
Rfam family: Archaeal small subunit ribosomal RNA
Source: RNAcentral
AGCACCACAACAGGUGGAGCCUGCGGUUUAAUCGGACUCAACGCCGGGAAACUCACCAGAUAAGACAGCUGAAUGAUAGUCGGGCUGAAGACUCUACUUGACUAGCUGAGAGGAGGUGCAUGGCCGUCGUCAGUUCGUACUGUGAAGCAUCCUGUUAAGUCAGGCAACGAGCGAGACCCACGCCAACAGUUGCCAGCUCGUCCUCCGGGAUGGUGGGGACACUGUUGGGACCGCCUCUGCUAAAGAGGAGGAAGGAAUGGGCAACGGUAGGUCAGCAUGCCCCGAAUUAUCUGGGCCACACGCGGGCUACAAUGGGUGGGACAAUGGGUAUCGACACCGAAAGGUGAAGGCAAUCUCCUAAACCCAUCCGUAGUUCGGAUUGUGGGCUGCAACUCGCCCACAUGAAGCUGGAAUCUGUAGUAAUCGUGUCUCAAAAUGGCACGGUGAAUAUGUCCCUGCUCCUU